GCCCCGCCGUAAACUUAGAUAUAUUAAUACAAUAAAUAUCCGCCUGGGGACUACGAGCGCCAGCUUAAAACCCAAAGGACUUGGCGGUGCUUCAGACCCCCCUAGAGGAGCCUGUUCUAGAACCGAUAACCCCCGUUCAACCUCACCACUUCUUGCCCCUCCCGCCUAUAUACCACCGUCGCCAGCUUACCCUAUGAAGGCACCACAGUAAGCAAAAUGAGCAUUCCUCAAAACGUCAGGUCGAGGUGUAGCGUACGAAAUGGGAAGAAAUGGGCUACAUUAUCUGAAACAGAUUAUUCACGAAAGGCCACCUGAAAAUGAAGGCCCGAAGGUGGAUUUAGCAGUAAAGAGGGAAUAGAGUGCCCUCUUGAAGUCGGCUCUGAAGCGCGC
RNAcentral lists this ribosomal RNA (390 nucleotides) under Potamalosa richmondia (Australian freshwater herring). RNAcentral's name for it is "partial 12S ribosomal RNA". It matches the Rfam family "Bacterial small subunit ribosomal RNA", at positions 794 to 1384 of the family's 1533-position model. The record is from RNAcentral. Lineage: Eukaryota; Metazoa; Chordata; Actinopteri; Clupeiformes; Clupeidae.